RNAcentral lists this ribosomal RNA (384 nucleotides) under Triticum aestivum (bread wheat). RNAcentral describes it as "partial small subunit ribosomal RNA". Lineage: Eukaryota; Viridiplantae; Streptophyta; Magnoliopsida; Poales; Poaceae. The record is from RNAcentral.
AUGGUGGCAGCCUCGCCUCCCUCCACCUUGCCCUCCUCCUCUUUGCAGCCCACGCGGCUGUCGGCAGCGCCGCAGGGGCGGUCGGGGUGCGCAAGUGGCGGGCAGCUGUGGUGUGUGGUGAAGAACAAUGUCGAGGAUGGCGUGCUGCAGUCAGCCAUCGGCUGGGCCUGCGGCCCCAAUGGCGGCGCCGAUUGCCGCGCGAUCCAGCAGGGCAGCACCUGCUACGAGCCGCCCACCUCCUGGUGCACGCCUCCUAUGCCUUCAACGACUACUUCCUCUGAUCCGGCGGCGCCGCCAGCCCUGCCGCCUGCGACUUCUCUGGCGCCGCCGCGCUCAUCGGCCUCAACCCUAGUAAGCACCGACUCGUCUCAGAUCCUCUCGUGA